ACACCUCAACUCUUCAUGGUUUUCCAUGAUGAGCUUGGACUUUGGGGGUCUUGCUGGCCUGUAGUCAGCUCCUCUCAAAUGAAUCAGCUUGCCAGUGUUUGGUGGGCAUCACAGGUGUGAUAACUAUCUACGCUUGUGGUUUUCCACCAAGUAACCUUCAGCAGUGGAGGUUCGCUGGAGCUCACAGACGUCUCUCCUCAGUGAGGACAGCCCUUUGAAU
RNAcentral lists this unclassified non-coding RNA (220 nucleotides) under uncultured Thelephoraceae. Its description in RNAcentral is "sequence contains ITS2". Lineage: Eukaryota; Fungi; Basidiomycota; Agaricomycetes; Thelephorales; Thelephoraceae. The record is from RNAcentral.